This 498-nucleotide ribosomal RNA is filed under the name uncultured bacterium. Its description in RNAcentral is "partial 16S ribosomal RNA". It matches the Rfam family "Bacterial small subunit ribosomal RNA", at positions 29 to 523 of the family's 1533-position model. The record is from RNAcentral.
AUUGAACGCUGGCGGCAUGCCUUACACAUGCAAGUCGAACGGUAACGCGGGGCAACCUGGCGACGAGUGGCGAACGGGUGAGUAAUGUAUCGGAACGUGCCCAGUUGUGGGGGAUAACUGCUCGAAAGAGCAGCUAAUACCGCAUACGACCUGAGGGUGAAAGCGGGGGAUCGCAAGACCUCGCGCAAUUGGAGCGGCCGAUAUCAGAUUAGGUAGUUGGUGGGGUAAAGGCUCACCAAGCCGACGAUCUGUAGCUGGUCUGAGAGGACGACCAGCCACACUGGGACUAAGACACGGCCCAGACGCCUACGGGAGGCAGCAGUGGGGAAUUUUGGACAAGGGACGCAAGUCUGAUUCAGCCAUGCCGCGUGCGGGAAGAAGGCCUUCGGGUUGUAAACCGCUUUUGUCAGGGAAGAAAAGGCUCCUUCUAAUAUAGGGGGCUCAUGACGGUACCUGAAGAAUAAGCACCGGCUAACUACGUGCCAGCCGCCGCCGUAA